This 558-nucleotide ribosomal RNA is filed under the name uncultured bacterium. Its description in RNAcentral is "bacterial SSU rRNA". It matches the Rfam family "Bacterial small subunit ribosomal RNA", at positions 254 to 829 of the family's 1533-position model. The record is from RNAcentral.
AGGGUAAAAGCCUACCAAGGCAAAGAUCGGUAGCCGGCCUGAGAGGGCACACGGCCACACUGGCACCGAAACACGGGCCAGACUCCUACGGGAGGCAGCAGUGGGGAAUCUUGCACAAUGGGGGAAACCCUGAUGCAGCGACGCCGCGUGAGCGAUGAAGCCCUUCGGGGUGUAAAGCUCUUUCGGCAGGGACGAUUAUGACGGUACCUGCAGAAGCAGCUGCGGCUAACUACGUGCCAGCAGCCGCGGUAAUACGUAGGCAGCGAGCGUUGUUCGGAGUUACUGGGCGUAAAGGGUGUGUAGGCGGUUUUUUAAGUUUGGUGUGAAAUCUCCCGGCUCAACUGGGAGGGUGCGCCGAAUACUGAAAGACUAGAGUGCGGGAGAGGAAAGUGGAAUUCCUGGUGUAGCGGUGAAAUGCGUAGAUAUCAGGAGGAACACCGGUGGUGUAGACGGCUUUCUGGACCGUAACUGACGCUGAGACACGAAAGCGUGGGUAGCAAACAGGAUUAGAUACCCUGGUAGUCCACGCCCUAAACGAUGCAUAUUUGGUGUGGGCAG